UGAGGAAUAUUGGACAAUGGGCGCAAGCCUGAUCCGGCCAUGCCGCGUGCAGGAUGACGGUCCUAUGGAUUGUAAACUGCUUUUGUACAGGAAGAAACAGUUCUACGUGUAGAACCUUGACGGUACUGUAAGAAUAAGGAUCGGCUAACUCCGUGCCAGCAGCCGCGGUAAUACGGAGGAUCCAAGCGUUAUCCGGAAUCAUUGGGUUUAAAGGGUCCGUAGGCGGUUAGAUAAGUCAGUGGUGAAAGCCCAUCGCUCAACGGUGGAACGGCCAUUGAUACUGUCUGACUUGAAUUAUUAGGAAGUAACUAGAAUAUGUAGUGUAGCGGUGAAAUGCUUAGAGAUUACAUGGAAUACCAAUUGCGAAGGCAGGUUACUACUAAUGGAUUGACGCUGAUGGACGAAAGCGUGGGUAGCGAACAGGAUUAGAUACCCCCGUAGUCCCUGAGCGGGCUGGCAAGGCGCAU
Molecule: ribosomal RNA, 467 nt
Filed under: uncultured bacterium
Lineage: Bacteria
Description: bacterial SSU rRNA
Rfam family: Bacterial small subunit ribosomal RNA
Source: RNAcentral